This 1537-nucleotide long non-coding RNA is filed under the name Homo sapiens (human). RNAcentral describes it as "novel transcript". The record is from RNAcentral. Lineage: Eukaryota; Metazoa; Chordata; Mammalia; Primates; Hominidae.
AUUCCUGCAUUCCCGACAUCAUAAACGACUCAGACGGAUGCGGAAACCGAGACGGCCUGGAUGGAAAACUCUUUCAAGGAAGACCCCAGGGCCCUGAACGGAAUUCCGGAUAUUUUCUCUAAAACGUACUACACCUGCCUUUUCCCACGAAGUAUCAUUCCUUGAUUCAGGAUCAGGCUCAAGAGUUAACCCACCUACGGCAGAAGAUGAAGCUUGGGAGAGUGGCCUCUGCUCUUCUCAUCCAGCAUGUCAAGAACACACUAAAGACCUUUGAGGAGCUACUCCAGAGCAAUAACAUUGACCACUAUAUGGAGCAGCACUACUGCGAGCAGCUGGCCAAAGGAAGCCAGCUGGCAGAGAGCCUUGCCAGAAAAUUCAGCACAGUAUCUUGAGGAAGAUGCAUAAUAUGAGUAAAGUGACAGAAGUCCUAGAGACCAAGUGGGAUGCCCAGUCCCAGACUCAGCCCCAGAUCUGGUGCAGCAACCACACCCGGUCUACCCCACAUCACUCCCUGAGCAGCACGUCUCCACAGCUUGACAAGGAGGAAGUGCAUCCUUCAGUGACUGCAGUCAGAGGGGGUGACGGAUCUCAGUACCUCUCACUGCUAGAAGAAAGUGUAGGUUGCCAGCCUGGUGUACAAACCUAUCUAAAGGAUCCCCUCCUGUUACCCAGGAUAUGGGUGAAGUGUCUUCUUAGUCCUUCUUACAUGAAUCAGCCUUCUAGCCUGGAAGUCUGGUAGGAAGUGGAACACCCAUGUCAGCAAACGAUGACUGUGAAAGCAAACUUGAAAAACUGGGCUCUGUGUGAAUAUCCAAUGUUGAAGCACCUUCCUGGAAUGAGUGAACAAAGUUAAGGACUUGCAGAGAGAGUUUUCUACUGGAAUGUAAGAGGUUUUUGAAGGCUCUCUUUUCUGCAAAGGCCAUGUGUAGCAAUUUUUCUAUAUACUUUCCGGUUUAAUUCGGAACUGAACAGUGGAAUUCCAAAGCACAGCUCGAGAGGAACCCAAUCUGCUUCUGUUGUGGCACCAGAGGUUUGCUUUGUUGCUGAAUCUAUAGUUGCUUCUUCAAUGACCAUUUCAAAUGACUCUGUACUCCCAUUUAACAUCUGAGCCAGAAGCCAAAUCAGGUUUUCCUCUCUCAUCAGAAGCAUCACUGAGUUUUCUAUUUGCAAGUUGGCUGGAAGCAUUCAACAUGGUGACAUAUCCGCAGAGAUGUUGUAAGUCCACUCUGUUCCUUAGUAUCUGCAAUGCUUUAUGAACACCCAUAUUGACACGAGUCUUCUUGUAGUUCUGUUUCAUCAAAUGGAAAUGGGACAUGGACAGUUUCUCCUAUCCCAUGCAGACCAUGCUCCUGAAUUAAAACUGCAGAAUGUGUUAAAGCAUCAUUCAACAUCGUGAGCACAUUUGAGGUAGGAACUACUCCAGGAUCAUGACCCCAAGAUGUUAUUAGCAAUCGAUCGUAACUCUGAAAUAUAUCUGGCAGUUUUCGAGGUCUUGUACCUUUGGAUAAUAAAAGGGAUGGUGGUCCUUGUCCAGUGA